Diabrotica virgifera virgifera (western corn rootworm) is the source of this 132-nucleotide non-coding RNA. RefSeq annotates it as small Cajal body-specific RNA 8. The transcript has a single exon. NCBI's taxonomy places the organism in Eukaryota, Metazoa, Arthropoda, Insecta, Coleoptera, Chrysomelidae. The record is from RefSeq and is a predicted model, not a curated record.
UGGAAGUUUGAUACUUGUAUAAAAUAACUCACUGUGUUUUGUACAUCACUAUACUUCCUAGAUAGUAAAGAUUCUCUGAUGACCUCAGUUGGAUGAAGUUUUGGACGGAGGACAGAUACGGAACCGACAAUU